RNAcentral lists this ribosomal RNA (550 nucleotides) under uncultured bacterium. Its description in RNAcentral is "bacterial SSU rRNA". It matches the Rfam family "Bacterial small subunit ribosomal RNA", at positions 355 to 896 of the family's 1533-position model. The record is from RNAcentral.
UAGGGAAUCUUCCACAAUGGGCGCAAGCCUGAUGGAGCAACACCGCGUGAGUGAAGAAGGGUUUCGGCUCGUAAAGCUCUGUUGUUGAAGAAGAACGUGCGUGAGAGUAACUGUUCACGCAGUGACGGUAUUCAACCAGAAAGUCACGGCUAACUACGUGCCAGCAGCCGCGGUAAUACGUAGGUGGCAAGCGUUAUCCGGAUUUAUUGGGCGUAAAGCGAGCGCAGGCGGUUGCUUAGGCCUGAUGUGAAAGCCUUCGGCUUAACCGAAGAAGUGCAUCGGAAACCGGGCGACUUGAGUGCAGAAGAGGACAGUGGAACUCCAUGUGUAGCGGUGGAAUGCGUAGAUAUAUGGAAGAACACCAGUGGCGAAGGCGGCUAUCUGGUCUGCAACUGACGCUGAGGCUCGAAAGCAUGGGUAGCGAACAGGAUUAGAUACCCUGGUAGUCCAUGCCGUAAACGAUGAGUGCUAGGUGUUGGAGGGUUUCCGCCCUUCAGUGCCGGAGCUAACGCAUUAAGCACUCCGCCUGGGGAGUACGACCGCAAGGUUG